This is a non-coding RNA of Dipodomys ordii (Ord's kangaroo rat), 70 nucleotides long. NCBI's taxonomy places the organism in Eukaryota, Metazoa, Chordata, Mammalia, Rodentia, Heteromyidae. The record is from Rfam.
GGGAAUGUGGCUUAGUGGUAGAGUGCUUGCUUAUUAUGCAUGAAGCCCUGGGUUCAAUUCCUCAGUACCA